RNAcentral lists this ribosomal RNA (286 nucleotides) under uncultured bacterium. RNAcentral describes it as "partial 16S ribosomal RNA". It matches the Rfam family "Bacterial small subunit ribosomal RNA", at positions 773 to 1060 of the family's 1533-position model. The record is from RNAcentral.
GUGGAUUAGAUACCCGAGUAGUCCACGCCCUAAACUAUGGAUACUCGACAUUAGCGAUACACCGUUAGUGUCUAAGCGAAAGCAUUAAGUAUCCCACCUGGGAAGUACGACCGCAAGGUUGAAACUCAAAGGAAUUGACGGGGGUCCGCACAAGUGGUGGAGUAUGUGGUUUAAUUCGAUGCUACGCGAGGAACCUUACCUAGGCUAGAAUGCUGGUGGACCGAGGGUGAAAGCUCUUUUUGUAGCAAUACACCGCCAGCAAGGUGCUGCACGGCCGUCGUCAACU